GAUGAACGCUGGCGGCGUGCUUAACACAUGCAAGUCGAACGAGAAGUGAAGACGGAAACCUUCGGGCGGAAGGCUUUAUUUCGAGUGGCGGACGGGUGAGUAACGCGUGGGUGACCUGCCUCAUACAGGGGGAUAACAGUUGGAAACGACUGUUAAUACCGCAUAAGACCACAGCACCGCAUGGUGCGGGGGUAAAAACUCCGGUGGUAUGAGAUGGACCCGCGUUCGAUUAGCCAGUUGGCGGGGUAACGGCCCACCAAAGCGACGAUCGAUAGCCGAUCUGAGAGGAUGACCGGCCACAUUGGGACUGAGACACGGCCCAAACUCCUACGGGAGGCAGCAGUGGGGAAUAUUGCACAAUGGGGGAAACCCUGAUGCAGCGACGCCGCGUGAGUGAAGAAGUAUUUCGGUAUGUAAAGCUCUAUCAGCAGGGAAGAAAAUGACGGUACCUGAGUAAGAAGCCCCGGCUAACUACGUG
RNAcentral lists this ribosomal RNA (478 nucleotides) under uncultured bacterium. RNAcentral describes it as "partial 16S ribosomal RNA". It matches the Rfam family "Bacterial small subunit ribosomal RNA", at positions 28 to 507 of the family's 1533-position model. The record is from RNAcentral.